Molecule: non-coding RNA, 249 nt
Organism: Vicia faba (fava bean)
Lineage: Eukaryota; Viridiplantae; Streptophyta; Magnoliopsida; Fabales; Fabaceae
Source: the annotation of a GenBank genome assembly
AUGACACACAAUUCACACACCACUCCUAGGGUACGCCUCACUGUUGCCUUGCCCUCGAAACGUGGUCGUCGAGUAGAGGGUGUUUUAGUAAGUCCUCAUGUCCAUGAACAUGGCAUGGGGGUAGCUUCUAAGGUAUCCUCCUAUUGCUCUGUCCCGAACCCUCGAAUUGACCCGAACACCUCCAACGGUGGUGCUACCUACCUCUCAAUGGUGGGAUGGCACUACCUUAAGGACAUUUACACAGACUAA